UGAGGAAUCUUGCGCAAUGGGGGAAACCCUGACGGAGCGACGCCGCGUGGACGAUGGAGGCCGUAAGGUUGUAAAGUCCUUUUGCAGGUGAAGAAUAAGCCGGGGAGUGGAGUGCCCUGGUGAUGACGUUAGCCUGCGAAUAAGCCCCGGCCAAUUACGUGCCAGCAGCCGCGGUAAUACGUAUGGGGCGAGCGUUGUUCGGAGUUAUUGGGCGUAAAGGGCGUGUAGGCGGCUCGAGAAGUCUGGUGUGAAAUCGCAGGGCUCAACCCUGCGGGUGCGCUGGAAACUGACGGGCUUGAGUCGCGGGGGGGAAGCUGGAAUUCCUGGUGUAGGAGUGAAAUCUGUAGAGAUCAGGAAGAACACCGGUGGCGAAGGCGAGCUUCUAUUCGAGGACUGACGCUGAGGCGCGAAAGCGUGGGGAGCAAACAG
This 429-nucleotide ribosomal RNA is filed under the name uncultured bacterium. Its description in RNAcentral is "bacterial SSU rRNA". It matches the Rfam family "Bacterial small subunit ribosomal RNA", at positions 355 to 775 of the family's 1533-position model. The record is from RNAcentral.